Molecule: RNA transcript, 1762 nt
Organism: Cebus imitator (Panamanian white-faced capuchin)
Lineage: Eukaryota; Metazoa; Chordata; Mammalia; Primates; Cebidae
Gene name: RNA-binding protein 4
Exons: 5
Source: RefSeq, a predicted model, not a curated record
CUCUACCCAGAGCCACUGCUGCGGCCGCCGCCAUUUUAGCGUUUUGUCAGAAGCGUCCGCGCCGCGAGGAGGAGGCCCUGCUGAUUUCUGUGCGGGCUCUUGUCAGGAUGGUGAAGCUGUUCAUCGGAAACCUGCCCCGGGAGGCCACAGAGCAGGAGAUCCGCUCUCUUUUCGAGCAGUAUGGGAAGGUGCUGGAAUGUGACAUCAUUAAGAAUUACGGCUUUGUGCACAUAGAAGACAAAACUGCAGCGGAAGAUGCCAUACGCAACCUACACCAUUACAAGCUUCAUGGGGUGAACAUCAACGUUGAAGCCAGCAAGAAUAAGAGCAAAACGUCAACAAAGUUGCAUGUGGGCAACAUCAGUCCCACCUGCACUAAUAAGGAGCUUCGAGCCAAGUUCGAGGAGUAUGGUCCGGUCAUUGAAUGUGACAUCGUGAAAGAUUAUGCCUUCGUACACAUGGAGCGGGCAGAGGAUGCAGUGGAGGCCAUCAGGGGCCUUGAUAACACAGAGUUUCAAGGCAAACGAAUGCACGUGCAGUUGUCCACCAGCCGGCUUAGGACUGCGCCCGGGAUGGGAGACCAGAGCGGCUGCUAUCGGUGCGGGAAAGAGGGGCACUGGUCCAAAGAGUGUCCGAUAGAUCGUUCAGGCCGCGUGGCAGACUUGACCGAGCAAUAUAAUGAGCAAUACGGAGCAGUGCGUACGCCUUACACCAUGAGCUAUGGGGAUUCAUUGUAUUACAACAACGCGUACGGAGCGCUCGAUGCCUACUACAAGCGCUGCCGUGCUGCCCGGUCGUAUGAGGCAGUGGCGGCUGCAGCUGCCUCCGUGUAUAAUUAUGCAGAGCAAACCCUGUCCCAGCUGCCACAAGUCCAGAAUACAGCCAUGGCCAGUCACCUCACCUCCACCUCUCUCGAUCCCUACGAUAGACACCUGUUGCCGACCUCAGGAGCUGCUGCCACAGCUGCUGCUGCAGCAGCAGCCGCUGCUGCAGUUAAUGCAGCUUCCACUUCAUAUUACGGGCGGGAUCGGAGCCCCCUGCGUCGCGCUACAGCCCCAGUCCCCACUGUUGGAGAGGGCUACGGUUACGGGCAUGAGAGUGAGUUGUCCCAAGCUUCGGCAGCCGCGCGGAAUUCUCUGUACGACAUGGCCCGGUAUGAGCGGGAGCAGUAUGCCGAUCGAGCGCGGUACUCGGCCUUUUAAAGCUUGAGGUCCCAGUUACUAAGAAGACUACCAAAAUGGCAUCAUCUUAAUCUUGAAGCGUAUUUCUGACAUUCCUGAACGGUUCAACCCUUAGGAGUUUUAUAGAACUUAUUUGAUGGUGGGAUGUGUGUGGGCUGAAAUUCCGAGCUGCGGUUGUGCAUGAGAAUACACCCUUCGUGGUACCCCAUCUCCGGGACGUUCUCGGCUCUGUGCGUUCAGUCCCUCAGGAACCGUGGACCUUAAUUUACCUUGCUAAGUUCAGACCUUCUCUUCCUUUACUUUCCUUUCCUCUCCUGCCCGUUUUCCUGUUCUUCUGUCCUUCAGUACUUCUGUAGCUUCCCAUUCAUGUUCUGUUCUCCCAGCAGGCCUCAUUGUGUGCCGAAACUGUGGUGGGGGCUGUGCUGUCUCCUCCCUGCCUCUCCUGCCUCCUGCGGCUGUUGGAUUUGGGAAUGACCUUGGUGAGAGUCUCACUGCCCCGGGUCUCUUUUUGGUCCAAAGGCUAGACCUAGAGCAUUGGAUCACUUUUUUCUUUCCGGUGAAAUAAAUGGUUUUUCAACUUA